This 1207-nucleotide ribosomal RNA is filed under the name Azadinium caudatum var. margalefii. Its description in RNAcentral is "LSU rRNA". It matches the Rfam family "Eukaryotic large subunit ribosomal RNA", at positions 22 to 1132 of the family's 3401-position model. Lineage: Eukaryota; Dinophyceae; Gonyaulacales; Amphidomataceae. The record is from RNAcentral.
UACCCGCUGAAUUUAAGCAUAUAAGUAAGCGGAGGACAAGAAACUAAAUAGGAUUCCCUUAGUAAUGGCGAAUGAACAGGGAACAGCUCAGCAUGGAAAUCGGGGCCUCCCGGCCUUGAAUUGUAGUCUGGAGAUGUGCUGCCAACGGAGGCGCAGAUGUAAGCCUCUUGGAAAAGAGCAUCAACGAGGGUGAGAGUCCUGUUUGUCAUCUGCAGUCCCCCGUGCACGGUGCGCGUUUGACGAGUCACGUUCCUCGGGAUUGGAGCGCAAAGUGGGUGGUAAAUUUCAUCUAAAGCUAAAUACUGGUUCGAGACCGAUAGCAAACAAGUACCAUGAGGGAAAGGUGAAAAGGACUUUGAAAAGAGAGUUAAAAGUGCCUGAAAUCGCUGAAAGGGAAGCGAAUGGAACCAGUGUUCUUGGUGAGAUUGUUGCGCACUCUGGGGAUUGCUGGCUGUUCAACCGCAAGGGGAGCAGUUGGUUUUGACUUAGCGGUGCGUGGUGUUUCUUGCCCUGUGUGUCACCGUCGGUGCACCAGCGAGUAAACCACCAAGGGCAUGGUACCUCACCCACGGGUGGGCGAAUACCUUUGGCUGCACUCAUUGGUGUAUCGAUCCCUGCGUGUCUGGUUGCAGUGCUCAGUUCGUCUCAGUGCUUCUGCGGGGUUCGUCUCUGUGGGAGUUUCCUGGGGCGCGCGGGGCAUCUCCCUGACACAAAGACGAUGACUAAAUGGUUCUAUUCGACCCGUCUUGAAACACGGACCAAGGAGUCUAACAUAUGUGCGAGUACACGGGUGUUAAACCUGCUUGCGCAAUGAAAGUGACUGCUGGGAUUUUUGCACCAGCAACCGACCAAUCAAUUGAGAGAGGUUUGAGUAUGAGCAUAUCUGUUAGGACCCGAAAGAUGGUGAACUAUGCCUGAGAAGGGCAAAGUCAGGGGAAACUCUGAUGGAGGCUCGUAGCGAUACUGACGUGCAAAUCGUUCGUCAUACUUGGGUAUAGGGGCGAAAGACUAAUCGAACCAUCUAGUAGCUGGUUCCCUCCGAAGUUUCCCUCAGGAUAGCUGGAGUUGAACAGUUUUAUCAGGUAAAGCGAAUGAUUAGAGGAAUCGGGGACGCUGUUGUCCUCGACCUAUUCUCAAACUUUAAAUGGGUAAGAUCCAGUGGUUACUUUAGUGAACUUCUGGGAUAAAUGACAACUCUAAGUGGGCC